GCCAGGCAUGGUGGCGCAUGCCUGUAAUCCCAGCUACUCGGGAGGCUGAGACAGGAGAAUUGCUUGAACUCGGGAGGCAGAGUUUGCAGUGAGCUGAGAUCACACCAUUGCACUCCAGCCUGGGCAACAAAGCAAGACUCUGUCUCAA
RNAcentral lists this non-coding RNA (148 nucleotides) under Gorilla gorilla gorilla (western lowland gorilla). Lineage: Eukaryota; Metazoa; Chordata; Mammalia; Primates; Hominidae. The record is from Rfam by way of RNAcentral.